RNAcentral lists this ribosomal RNA (428 nucleotides) under Chloroflexota bacterium. Its description in RNAcentral is "Chloroflexi bacterium partial 16S ribosomal RNA". It matches the Rfam family "Bacterial small subunit ribosomal RNA", at positions 355 to 775 of the family's 1533-position model. The record is from RNAcentral. RNAcentral also lists the same sequence under 2 other names. Lineage: Bacteria; Bacillati; Chloroflexota.
UAGGGAAUCUUCGGCAAUGGACGAAAGUCUGACCGAGCAACGCCGCGUGAGUGAAGAAGGUUUUCGGAUCGUAAAACUCUGUUGUUAGAGAAGAACAAGGACGUUAGUAACUGAACGUCCCCUGACGGUAUCUAACCAGAAAGCCACGGCUAACUACGUGCCAGCAGCCGCGGUAAUACGUAGGUGGCAAGCGUUGUCCGGAUUUAUUGGGCGUAAAGCGAGCGCAGGCGGUUUCUUAAGUCUGAUGUGAAAGCCCCCGGCUCAACCGGGGAGGGUCAUUGGAAACUGGGAGACUUGAGUGCAGAAGAGGAGAGUGGAAUUCCAUGUGUAGCGGUGAAAUGCGUAGAUAUAUGGAGGAACACCAGUGGCGAAGGCGGCUCUCUGGUCUGUAACUGACGCUGAGGCUCGAAAGCGUGGGGAGCAAACAG